RNAcentral lists this ribosomal RNA (253 nucleotides) under uncultured bacterium. RNAcentral describes it as "partial 16S ribosomal RNA". It matches the Rfam family "Bacterial small subunit ribosomal RNA", at positions 524 to 776 of the family's 1533-position model. The record is from RNAcentral.
UACGUAGGGGGCAAGCGUUAUCCGGAUUUACUGGGUGUAAAGGGAGCGUAGACGGCAGUGCAAGUCUGAAGUGAAAGGCAAGGGCUCGACCCUUGGACUGCUUUGGAAACUGUGCUGCUGGAGUGUCGGAGAGGCAAGUGGAAUUCCUAGUGUAGCGGUGAAAUGCGUAGAUAUUAGGAGGAACACCAGUGGCGAAGGCGGCUUGCUGGACGAUGACUGACGUUGAGGCUCGAGAGCGUGGGGAGCAAACAGG